GAACGCUAGCGACAGGCCUAACACAUGCAAGUCGAGGGGGCAGCGGGGAUGAAGCUUGCUUCAUCUGCCGGCGACCGGCGCACGGGUGAGUAACACGUAUGCAACCUGCCCGCCACAGGGGGAUAAACGCUGGAAACGGCGCCUAAUACCCCAUACUAUCGCUAUGCUGCAUGGCAUGGCGAUGAAAACUCCGGUGGUGGCGGAUGGGCAUGCGGCGCAUUAGCUGGUUGGGGGGGUAACGGCCCACCAAGGCGACGAUGCGUAGGGGUUCUGAGAGGAAGGUCCCCCACACUGGUACUGAGACACGGACCAGACUCCUACGGGAGGCAGCAGUGAGGAAUAUUGGUCAAUGGGCGGGAGCCUGAACCAGCCAAGUCGCGUGAGGGAAGACGGCCCUACGGGUUGUAAACCUCUUUAGUCGGGGAGCAAAAAGGAUCACGCGUGGUCCAUUGAGCGUACCCGAAGAAUAAGCAUCGGCUAACUCCGUG
This 488-nucleotide ribosomal RNA is filed under the name uncultured bacterium. RNAcentral describes it as "bacterial SSU rRNA". It matches the Rfam family "Bacterial small subunit ribosomal RNA", at positions 31 to 507 of the family's 1533-position model. The record is from RNAcentral.